Long non-coding RNA from Neopelma chrysocephalum (saffron-crested tyrant-manakin), 606 nucleotides. RefSeq lists it as uncharacterized. The transcript has 2 exons. NCBI's taxonomy places the organism in Eukaryota, Metazoa, Chordata, Aves, Passeriformes, Pipridae. The record is from RefSeq and is a predicted model, not a curated record.
ACCACCCUGUCAGCUUUGAGAGAGCCGUUAUGCUCUGCUACCCAUCAAGGCAGAGAAUGAUUAAGUCUUGAUUCCUGGUGCCAAAGACUUCAGAUAAAAAAGCGAACCAUUCAUUUCCAGCCAUGAUAGCACUUAGCAAAGCAAGUGAGGGAACCAAUAGUAAAGUAUACUUGGCUACUGAAGUUUUUUGUGAAUUGCUUGGAAGUAAGAUUCCUUUCUACUGUAAUGUAAAAAAAUCCAUUACAUGGAGGCACCAAUAGAUAUGUAUUCAUCUGAGGUUUGCAGGGCUUCAUGAAGAAGGAAGGAAUACUUAAUUUGGAUGACAAAUCAUUCCACAAACAUUAUAAAUCCUCCCAGUAGUAAAUAUUUCAGAUUUCAAGAGCCAAUUAGAAAGUGCAUGAGAUCAUCCCACCCAAGACACAGAAUUUGGGAUGGUAUGAAGAAGCAAGGAUGCCUACAAAUCAGACUCAUGUAUGCAAAGAAAGCACAACUGACAAGAUGAUGAAAAACAUGCCUGCCAUGUAAAUAUUUUCUGAUUACUAAAUGGGAACCUUGUUUCUACACCUACAAUAAACAGACAACCAGAUCCACCUAUGACAGGUUUAA